AGUUUGAUCCUGGCUCAGAUUGAACGCUGGCGGAAUGCUUUACACAUGCAAGUCGAACGGCAGCACGAGGGCAACCUUGGUGGCGAGUGGCGAACGGGUGAGUAAUACAUCGGAACGUGCCCAGUCGUGGGGGAUAACGUAGCGAAAGCUACGCUAAUACCGCAUACGAUCUAUGGAUGAAAGCGGGGGACCGUAAGGCCUCGCGCGAUUGGAGCGGCCGAUGGCAGAUUAGGUAGUUGGUGGGGUAAAGGCUCACCAAGCCUGCGAUCUGUAGCUGGUCUGAGAGGACGACCAGCCACACUGGAACUGAGACACGGUCCAGACUCCUACGGGAGGCAGCAGUGGGGAAUUUUGGACAAUGGGCGCAAGCCUGAUCCAGCCAUUCCGCGUGCAGGGUGAAGGCCUUCGGGUUGUAAACUGCUUUUGUACGGAACGAAAAGGUUUUCCUUAAUACGGAGAGCUCAUGACGGUACCGUAAGAAUAAGCACCGGCUAACUACGUG
RNAcentral lists this ribosomal RNA (502 nucleotides) under uncultured bacterium. RNAcentral describes it as "bacterial SSU rRNA". It matches the Rfam family "Bacterial small subunit ribosomal RNA", at positions 10 to 507 of the family's 1533-position model. The record is from RNAcentral.